Molecule: transfer RNA, 75 nt
Filed under: Francisella sp. TX07-6608
Lineage: Bacteria; Pseudomonadati; Pseudomonadota; Gammaproteobacteria; Thiotrichales; Francisellaceae
Description: Francisella sp. TX076608 tRNA-Gly
Rfam family: tRNA
About the family: Transfer RNA (tRNA) molecules are approximately 80 nucleotides in length.
Source: RNAcentral
GCGGGAAUAGCUCAGUGGUAGAGCACAACCUUGCCAAGGUUGGAGUCGCGAGUUCGAGCCUCGUUUCCCGCUCCA